AAUGAACGCUGGCGGCGUGCCUAACACAUGCAAGUCGGAUGUGCCGCAAGGUGCAUGGCCGACGGGUGAGUAACGCGUAGGGAAUCUACCUUUUUGUGGGGAAUAACGCUCCGAAAGGAGUGGUAAUACCGCAUGAGACCGUGAGCUGGGAUGUUCACGGUGAAACCUGGGGACCGCAAGGCCUGGGGCAAAACGAGGAUCCUGCGUCUGAUUAGCUAGUUGGCGGGGUAAUGGCCCACCAAGGCGACGAUCAGUAGCCGGCCUGAGAGGGUGAUCGGCCACACUGGAACUGAGACACGGUCCAGACUCCUACGGGAGGCAGCAGUGGGGAAUUUUGCGCAAUGGACGAAAGUCUGACGCAGCAACGCCGCGUGGGUGAUGAAGGUCUUCGGACUGUAAAACCCUGUCGUCAGGGACGAAGGUGGCAGUGUUAAUAGCGCUGUUACUUGACGGUACCUGGAGAGGAAGCCCCGGCUAACUCUGUG
Molecule: ribosomal RNA, 485 nt
Filed under: uncultured bacterium
Lineage: Bacteria
Description: partial 16S ribosomal RNA
Rfam family: Bacterial small subunit ribosomal RNA
Source: RNAcentral